RNAcentral lists this long non-coding RNA (617 nucleotides) under Carica papaya (papaya). RNAcentral describes it as "long non-coding RNA (CPAP_LNC009232)". Lineage: Eukaryota; Viridiplantae; Streptophyta; Magnoliopsida; Brassicales; Caricaceae. The record is from RNAcentral.
CCCGUCCGGUAUAAGCGCCAAACCAUAGACCUCAUUACCCCGUCCGGUAUGAGGGUGAAACGGGCCGUCCCCAUACCCCGUCCGGUAUGGGCGCCAAACCAUAGACCUCAUUACCCCGUCCGGUAUGAGGGUGAAACGGGCCGUCCCCAUACCCCGUCCGGUAUGAGCGCCAAACCAUAGACCUCAUUACCCUGUCCGGUAUGAGGGUGAAACGGGCCGUCCCCAUACCCCGUUCGGUAUGGGAGCCAAAACAAAUAAGAUCUCCAUACCCCGUCCGGUAUGGGAGACCACAAUCCCGGUAGGGUUCCCUACGGACCCGGUCCGUCCACCAUCUCCCAGGAAUCUAGUCAGGCUGACCACAGUAUACAAUUUCCAUUUACAUAAUCUUUCAUUCUCCUUUUCCCUCAGUCAGCAUUAUUAAUCACAUACAAACAAGCAAAAUGAUAAUUUAUGCCAAACAGACAACAUACAGCAUCAAUAUCCCGGUCAUUCAAUCCAUAAUCAAUAAAACAGUAGAAUAUGCACACGAAACUAUAAAAUGAAAACAUCGAACCUCAUGCUGCAUUUAAAACUGUAAAGCAGGUCAAAUAACAGUUAACCGACAAACACACUAGACU